AUCAGGAUGAAUUUAAUUUUGGUUCUGAUUGAACGUUUUUCAGUAGUUUUGAGACAUGCUAAUCGUUAUUCUAAUAAGUUUAAAUUAAAAAAUAGUAAUAAAAUUUAAUAUUAUACAAUUAGAAUAAGGUGUAAAGGUGAGUAUAGUAAAUCAGAUACCUUAUAGUCUCCUUAAAUAGGAGAUAUUUUUACUUCCUUCGCUAGUAAUGAAUUUAUAUUACUAUUUAUAGAAUCAGCUUUAUUAAAAAAAUUUUAUUUAAUUAUCGAAAGAUAAAUAGAUAAAAUCAAAUAAAGAGUUUAUUAGCCAGGAAACUUAUUAUAAGAUAUUAAUUAAUUAUAACUUUUUUUUAAUUUUAAAGAAAAGAUAUAGAUUAGUAUAAUACAAUAAGAAUAUGUAAAAAGGUAAUUUAGCUAAUUAUCAAUAAAGGAAAGUUUCUACUAUAAGAUUCGAUUUAUUUUGUUUAAGGAGGUAGUUGGUAGGGUAAAGGCCUACCAAGCCUACGAUCAAAAGCCAAGUUUGAUAGAACAGAUGGCCACAUUGGGAAUGAAAUGCCCCAAGUAGUAUAAACUACCAGCAGUCAAGAAUAUUAGUCAAUGCUCGCAAGAGUGAACUAGCUAACUGAAAUCACAAUAAUCUGUGAUAACGUAAGGGAAAAAACUGAUGUUACCUUACUAUUAAGUGUUGUCCAAAACUGGUGCCAGAAGACUCGGUAAGACCUGAAACGCAAACGUUAAUCGUCCUAAUCAGGCGUAAAGGGUUCGUAGGCUGCUUUUAAAAAUCAUUUUAUUUAAAAAAGCUCUGAUUUUAUCAGUUAAAUAAAAUAAUAAUAAUAAAAGCUAGAAUCAAAUUUAGGAUAAAAAAAUGCUUAGAGAUAGGGAUGGUAUCCAUAGAUACUAAGUGGAAUACUAAAGGUGAAAGCUUUUAUCUACUAAUGAUUGACGCUGAGGAACGAAGGUGAGAAUAGGAAAUAGGAUUAGAUACCCAGAUACCUCUCACUGUCAACGAUGAAUGGUAGUUUGUCAGUUUUAGAAAAAAUUGGUAACGAUGUUAACGCGAUAACCAUUCCGCCUUGCGAGUACGGUUGCAAAACUGAAACCAAAAAAAUUAGUCGGUCUCGAAGCAAACGAAGUGGAGCAUGUUAUUUAAUCCGAUAGUACGCGUAAAACCUUACCAGUUCUUGCAUAUCCAUUCUGUUUUUAACAGAAUGAGUAGUAAUUCUAUCUUGAAUUACUCGUUUACAGGUGUUGCAUGGCUGUCGUCAGUCCGUGUUUUGAGAAGUUUGGUUAACUCCGCUAACGGACGCAAUCCCUGUUGUUAAUUUAUUCUUAACAAUUUAUGAAUUUUAUAUAUUUUCAUUUGGGGCUAAGACAAGUCGUUAUGAUCCUAAUGAACUGGGCAAUAGACGUGCUGCAAAAACUUUUACAAAGUGAAGCAAAAUCGUACCCACAUUUCUUCUUUAUUUUUCUAAAAGCAAAUUAGAAUAGGAGAAGUUUUAGGGUAAUAAGAAAUAGCUAAUCAUUAAAGAAAGUUAAAAUAUUAAAUUAUAAACGGAUUGUCGCCUGUAAUUCGGCGACAUGAGGAAGGAAUUUCGAGUAAUCGUUGAUAAGUACGCAACGGUGAAGAUGGAAUUCGGGAUGAACUAACUGUCUGUCGCUGGGAAGAAGCUUACAUUGGGGGAAACUGCGACGAGGUUAUAACUUAAACAAAGGCACACACAAUAUUAUAAUUUGUUUAGCAAGCAAAAUAUUAAUAAAAUUUAAUUUGUAAAAUUAUUAAAUUUUGUGUAGUUUAUUUGCUAUUUAUGAUAUUUUUAUUGUAAAUUUGUCUUUUAUUUUUUAACACCUUUGUUAAGCUAAUUAGUUUCAGUUAACCUGAUUAAGUAACAUCUCAAAAGUCAUAGCAGGGUAGUGGUACUGGAAAGUGCUGCUGGAAAAUAAAAUUU
This 1942-nucleotide non-coding RNA is filed under the name Amanita brunnescens. RNAcentral's name for it is "small subunit ribosomal RNA". The stretch from base 1 to 1721 matches the Rfam family "Bacterial small subunit ribosomal RNA". The record is from RNAcentral. Lineage: Eukaryota; Fungi; Basidiomycota; Agaricomycetes; Agaricales; Amanitaceae.